RNAcentral lists this ribosomal RNA (459 nucleotides) under uncultured bacterium. RNAcentral's name for it is "SSU rRNA". It matches the Rfam family "Bacterial small subunit ribosomal RNA", at positions 26 to 518 of the family's 1533-position model. The record is from RNAcentral.
AGAAUCAACGCUGGCGGCGUGCCUAACACAUGCAAGUCGAACGAGAAAGUGGAGCAAUCCAUUAGUAAAGUGGCGCACGGGUGAGUAACACGUGACUAACCUACCCUUGAGUGGGGGAUAACCUAGAGAAAUCUGGGCUAAUACCGCAUAAUACCUUCGGGUCAAAGGAGCAAUUCGCUUAAGGAGGGGGUCGCGGCCGAUUAGUUAGUUGGCGGGGGUAAUGGCCCACCAAGACUAUGAUCGGUAUCCGGCCUGAGAGGGCGCACGGACACACUGGAACUGAAACACGGUCCAGACUCCUACGGGAGGCAGCAGUGGGGAAUUUGCGCAAUGGGGGAAACCCUGACGCAGCAACGCCGCGUGGAGGAUGAAGCCCCUUGGGGCGUAAACUCCUUUCGAUCGGGACGAUAAUGACGGUACCGAGAGAAGAGCCCCGGCUAACUUCGCGCCAGCAGCCGC